RNAcentral lists this ribosomal RNA (492 nucleotides) under uncultured bacterium. RNAcentral's name for it is "partial 16S ribosomal RNA". It matches the Rfam family "Bacterial small subunit ribosomal RNA", at positions 29 to 507 of the family's 1533-position model. The record is from RNAcentral.
AGUGAACGCUGGCGGUAGGCCUAACACAUGCAAGUCGAACGGCAGCACAGUAAGAGCUUGCUCUUACGGGUGGCGAGUGGCGGACGGGUGAGGAAUACAUCGGAAUCUACUUUUUCGUGGGGGAUAACGUAGGGAAACUUACGCUAAUACAGCAUACGACCUACGGGUGAAAGCAGGGGAUCUUCGGACCUUGCGCGAAUGAAUGAGCCGAUGUCGGAUUAGCUAGUUGGCGGGGUAAAGGCCCACCAAGGCGACGAGCCGUAGCUGGUCUGAGAGGAUGAUCAGCCACACUGGAACUGAGACACGGUCCAGACUCCUACGGGAGGCAGCAGUGGGGAAUAUUGGACAAAGGGCGCAAGCCUGAUCCAGCCAUACCGCGUGGGUGAAGAAGUCCUUCGGGUUGUAAAGCCCUUUUGUUGGGGAAGAAAAGCAGCAGGUUAAUACCCCGCUGUUCUGACGGUACCCAAAGAAUAAGCACCGGCUAACUUCGUG